This 253-nucleotide ribosomal RNA is filed under the name uncultured bacterium. Its description in RNAcentral is "partial 16S ribosomal RNA". It matches the Rfam family "Bacterial small subunit ribosomal RNA", at positions 524 to 776 of the family's 1533-position model. The record is from RNAcentral.
UACGAAGGGGGCUAGCGUUGCUCGGAAUUACUGGGCGUAAAGCGCACGUAGGCGGAUUGUUAAGUCGGGGGUGAAAUCCUGGAGCUCAACUCCAGAACUGCCUCCGAAACUGGCGAUCUUGAGUUCGGGAGAGGUGAGUGGAACUGCGAGUGUAGAGGUGAAAUUCGUAGAUAUUCGCAAGAACACCAGUGGCGAAGGCGGCUCACUGGCCCGAUACUGACGCUGAGGCACGAAAGCGUGGGGAGCAAACAGG